This 301-nucleotide non-coding RNA is filed under the name Pygoscelis adeliae (Adelie penguin). Its description in RNAcentral is "Eukaryotic large subunit ribosomal RNA". It matches the Rfam family "Eukaryotic large subunit ribosomal RNA", at positions 1 to 335 of the family's 3401-position model. The record is from Rfam by way of RNAcentral. Lineage: Eukaryota; Metazoa; Chordata; Aves; Sphenisciformes; Spheniscidae.
CAACCUCAGAUAGAGGUGCUGACCCACUGAAUUUAAGCGUAUGAGUCAACAGAGCAAAAGCAGCUCAGGAGGAGUCCUUUACUGAAAAGGGAAGAUGUGCCGUACAGAAGCCCCCAUCCCUGGCAUUGCUCUUGGGCGCGUGAGUGUCCAAGUCCUUCUGAUCGAGGCUCAGCCUGUAGAUGCAGUGAGGCCAGUAGCAGCCCCCCAGCGCAGUGGGCCUGAGGCUUCUCGGAGACAUGUUACUUGGGAAUGAGGCCCAGAGCUGGUGGUAGACUCCAUCUAAGGCUGAAUGCUCAUCACC